UACGUAGGGUGCAGGCGUUAAUCGGAAUUACUGGGCGUAAAGCGUGCGCAGGCGGUCUCUUAAGACAGGUGUGAAAUCCCCGAGCUUAACUUGGGAACUGCGCUUGUAACUGAGAGGCUAGAGUGUGGCAGAGGGGGGUGGAAUUCCACGUGUAGCAGUGAAAUGCGUAGAGAUGUGGAGGAACACCGAUGGCGAAGGCAGCCCCCUGGGCUAACACUGACGCUCAUGCACGAAAGCGUGGGGAGCAAACAGG
Molecule: ribosomal RNA, 253 nt
Filed under: uncultured bacterium
Lineage: Bacteria
Description: partial 16S ribosomal RNA
Rfam family: Bacterial small subunit ribosomal RNA
Source: RNAcentral